AUGCCACCAUCUGACAUGACUGAACAUGUUGGCAGGCUGUUGGAAGAAAAGGAGGGAUUCGAUGUCAGUUUCAGUGUUGGAGGAGAGACCAUUGAAGCACAUAGGCUCGUUCUUGCUAUGCGGUCGCCCGUUCUGAAGGCAGAGCUCUAUGGGCCGAUGCGGGAGGCCAAGCCGGGGCAGUGCAUAACCAUCAAGGACAUGCAACCUGCUGUUUUCAGGGCCCUGCUCCACUUCAUCUAUACCAAUUCUUUGCCUGGUGGCGAGGAUGAGGAUACUGAGAUGGCCCGGCUUUUACUGGUGGCUGCUGACAGAUAUGCCAUGGAGAGGCUCAAGCUGGUUUUCCAGAGCAUUCUUUGCAAGGAUCUGAAUGUGGACAUUGUGGCAACCACAUUGGCUUUAGCUGAUCAACAUAACUGCGAUGAGCUUAAGGAUGCUUGCCUUGAAUUUAUUUAA
RNAcentral lists this ribosomal RNA (453 nucleotides) under Triticum aestivum (bread wheat). RNAcentral describes it as "partial small subunit ribosomal RNA". Lineage: Eukaryota; Viridiplantae; Streptophyta; Magnoliopsida; Poales; Poaceae. The record is from RNAcentral.